GACGAACGCUGGCGGCGUGCCUAAUACAUGCAAGUCGAACGCACAGUUUAUACCGUAGCUUGCUACACCAUAGACUGUGAGUUGCGAACGGGUGAGUAACGCGUAGGUAACCUGCCUGGUAGCGGGGGAUAACUAUUGGAAACGAUAGCUAAUACCGCAUAAUAUUAAUUAUUGCAUGAUAAUUGAUUGAAAGAUGCAACUGCAUCACUACCAGAUGGACCUGCGUUGUAUUAGCUAGUAGGUGAGGUAACGGCUCACCUAGGCGACGAUACAUAGCCGACCUGAGAGGGUGAUCGGCCACACUGGGACUGAGACACGGCCCAGACUCCUACGGGAGGCAGCAGUAGGGAAUCUUCGGCAAUGGACGAAAGUCUGACCGAGCAACGCCGCGUGAGUGAAGAAGGUUUUCGGAUCGUAAAGCUCUGUUGUAAGAGAAGAACGGGUGUGAGAGUGGAAAGUUCACACUGUGACGGUAUCUUACCAGAAAGGGACGGCUAACUACGUG
Molecule: ribosomal RNA, 505 nt
Filed under: uncultured bacterium
Lineage: Bacteria
Description: partial 16S ribosomal RNA
Rfam family: Bacterial small subunit ribosomal RNA
Source: RNAcentral